AAUAACCACUAUAAAAUUAUUAUUUUCUUGAUAAACGGAGACGACAAAGACUCCAAACCUCUUUGAACAUCAUCAUAUGUUAGUGAAGGAUGCAACUAGGCAUUAAAACAAUCUUGUCAUAUUUUUUGAAAUUUACUCAAAAUCUAUAAGCUAACCCCUACAAAAAUAUUGAGUUUUUGGUAAAUUCUUAAUAUACUGAAGCCCAUAAUCUUUAGUGAUGUUUUAAAAUUUCUACCAUAUUCUACAUUUGUAUUAAUGUAUGCUAAACUCUAUUUCAUGGUAAAUGAGCAUCGUUCAAUUGUUUUUUUAAUUAAUUUUGUAAGUCUUCAUAACACUCCCUAAAUCGAUGGAAUAACCACUAUAAAAUUAUUAUUUUCUUGAUAAACGGAGAUGACAAAGGCUCCAAACCUCUUUGAACAUCAUCAUAUGCUAGUGAAGAUUGCAACCAAGCAUUAAAACAAUAUAUACAUAUUUUUUGAAAUUUUCUCAAAAUCUAUGGGCUAACCCCCAACAAAAAUAUUGAGUUUUUGGUAAAUUCGUUAUAUAAUGAAGCCAAUAAUCUUUAGUGUUGUUUUAAAAUUUCUACCAUAUUUUACAUUUUUAUUAAUAUAUGUUAAACUCUUUUUCAUGGUAAUUGAGCAUCAUUCAAUUAUUUUUAUCAAUUAAUUUAGUAAAACUUCAU
RNAcentral lists this long non-coding RNA (682 nucleotides) under Brassica napus (rape). RNAcentral describes it as "long non-coding RNA (BNAP_LNC000982)". The record is from RNAcentral. Lineage: Eukaryota; Viridiplantae; Streptophyta; Magnoliopsida; Brassicales; Brassicaceae.